AUGCUUGUCACGGCAGUGAAAAGCGCUGCCAUGGCAGCAAAUUCGCCCGCACCCAAAAGCCCUGCUAUGACAGCAGAAAACGCUGCCAUGGCAGCGGAUUCACCACGCACAGCCUCUACAGCAGAAAAAACCCUGCCACGCUGCCAUGGCAGUGUGGUCUCCAACAUCCACGACUCUCGACGAUGUACACUUGAUGAGCUCUGGCAAGAGGCGAUGAGCGACAAGCUCGCAUCGAUCGAGGGGAACGACACAUGGUCUCUCACUGAUUUGCCUGCAUGUCAAAAACCGAUCGGUCUCAAAUGGGUGUUCAAGCUCAAACGUGACGCCGGCAGCAAUUUGGUGAAGCACAAGGUAUGUCUAGUCACAAAGGGGUACGUCAAGCGGCCGGGUAUCGACUUUGACGGCCCGUUUGGACUCCGUUCAACUCCUGCUCACUGUCGCCGCUCAGUUCUGGUGGCAAGUUCACCACAUGGACGUGAAGACGGCAUUCCACAUGGACAUAUUUCUUGUUUAAUGCAUGGGGUUAUGUUUCUAAUGGAAACUAUUUAA
RNAcentral lists this ribosomal RNA (549 nucleotides) under Triticum aestivum (bread wheat). RNAcentral describes it as "partial small subunit ribosomal RNA". The record is from RNAcentral. Lineage: Eukaryota; Viridiplantae; Streptophyta; Magnoliopsida; Poales; Poaceae.